CCUACGGGUGGCAGCAGUCGAGAAUCAUUCACAAUGGGGGAAACCCUGAUGGUGCGACGCCGCGUGGGGGAAUGAAGGUCUUCGGAUUGUAAACUCCUGUCAUGUGGGAGCAAAUUAAAAAGAUAGUACCAUAAGAGGAAGAGACGGCCAACUCUGUGCCCGCAGCCGCGGUAAUACGGAGGUCGCAAGCGUUGUUCGGAAUCACUGGGCGUAAAGCGGGCGUAGGCUGUUUCGUAAGUCGUGUGUGAAAGGCGCGGGCUCAACCCGCGGACGGCACAUGAUACUGCGAGUUUAGAGUAAUGGAGGGGGAACCGGAAUUCUCGGUGUAGCAGUGAAAUGCGUAGAUA
RNAcentral lists this ribosomal RNA (347 nucleotides) under uncultured bacterium. RNAcentral describes it as "partial 16S ribosomal RNA". It matches the Rfam family "Bacterial small subunit ribosomal RNA", at positions 338 to 696 of the family's 1533-position model. The record is from RNAcentral.